This 982-nucleotide ribosomal RNA is filed under the name Zalaria obscura. RNAcentral describes it as "SSU rRNA". It matches the Rfam family "Eukaryotic small subunit ribosomal RNA", at positions 106 to 1096 of the family's 1831-position model. RNAcentral also lists the same sequence under 1 other name. Lineage: Eukaryota; Fungi; Ascomycota; Dothideomycetes; Dothideales; Zalariaceae. The record is from RNAcentral.
UCAGUUAUCGUUUAUUUGAUAGUACCUUACUACAUGGAUAACCGUGGUAAUUCUAGAGCUAAUACAUGCUAAAAACCUCAACUUCGGAAGGGGUGUAUUUAUUAGAUAAAAAACCAGCGCCCUUCGGGGCUCCUUGGUGAUUCAUAAUAACUAAACGAAUCGCAUGGCCUUGCGCCGGCGAUGGUUCAUUCAAAUUUCUGCCCUAUCAACUUUCGAUGGUAGGAUAGUGGCCUACCAUGGUAUCAACGGGUAACGGGGAAUUAGGGUUCUAUUCCGGAGAGGGAGCCUGAGAAACGGCUACCACAUCCAAGGAAGGCAGCAGGCGCGCAAAUUACCCAAUCCCGACACGGGGAGGUAGUGACAAUAAAUACUGAUACAGGGCUCUUUUGGGUCUUGUAAUUGGAAUGAGUACAAUUUAAAUCCCUUAACGAGGAACAAUUGGAGGGCAAGUCUGGUGCCAGCAGCCGCGGUAAUUCCAGCUCCAAUAGCGUAUAUUAAAGUUGUUGCAGUUAAAAAGCUCGUAGUUGAACCUUGGGCCUGGCUGGCCGGUCCGCCUCACCGCGUGUACUGGUCCGGCCGGGCCUUUCCUUCUGGGGAGCCGCAUGCCCUUCACUGGGCGUGUCGGGGAACCAGGACUUUUACUUUGAAAAAAUUAGAGUGUUCAAAGCAGGCCUUUGCUCGAAUACAUUAGCAUGGAAUAAUAGAAUAGGACGUGUGGUUCUAUUUUGUUGGUUUCUAGGACCGCCGUAAUGAUUAAUAGGGAUAGUCGGGGGCGUCAGUAUUCAAUUGUCAGAGGUGAAAUUCUUGGAUUUAUUGAAGACUAACUACUGCGAAAGCAUUCGCCAAGGAUGUUUUCAUUAAUCAGUGAACGAAAGUUAGGGGAUCGAAGACGAUCAGAUACCGUCGUAGUCUUAACCAUAAACUAUGCCGACUAGGGAUCGGGCGAUGUUAUUAUUUUGACUCGCUCGGCACCUUACGAGAA